RNAcentral lists this ribosomal RNA (497 nucleotides) under uncultured bacterium. RNAcentral's name for it is "partial 16S ribosomal RNA". It matches the Rfam family "Bacterial small subunit ribosomal RNA", at positions 28 to 507 of the family's 1533-position model. The record is from RNAcentral.
GAUGAACGCUGGCGGCGUGCCUAAUACAUGCAAGUCGAGCGAACAGACGAGGAGCUUGCUCCUCUGACGUUAGCGGCGGACGGGUGAGUAACACGUGGAUAACCUACCUAUAAGACUGGGAUAACUUCGGGAAACCGGAGCUAAUACCGGAUAAUAUAUUGAACCGCAUGGUUCAAUAGUGAAAGACGGUUUUGCUGUCACUUAUAGAUGGAUCCGCGCCGCAUUAGCUAGUUGGUAAGGUAACGGCUUACCAAGGCAACGAUGCGUAGCCGACCUGAGAGGGUGAUCGGCCACACUGGAACUGAGACACGGUCCAGACUCCUACGGGAGGCAGCAGUAGGGAAUAUUCCGCAAUGGGCGAAAGCUUGACGGAGCAACGCCGCGUGAGUGAUGAAGGUCUUCGGAUCGUAAAACUCUGUUAUUAGGGAAGAACAAAUGUGUAAGUAAAUAUGCACGUCUUGACGGUACCUAAUCAGAAAGCCACGGCUAACUACGUG